CACACACAUUCAAUGUUUAAGUCUUUCCAAUAUGUUGGAACUGGGUUUAAUUUUAAAUUUUAUGUUAUUUUAGAUUGGAUGUUUCUGAUUCAUGGGUUUCGGCUGCUUUCAUGAUUCACAGCUUAAUCUCGUCGAGUUAUUAUGGAUUACAGCUUCGGUCUUGAUCGGAAUUGAUAGUACUUUGGAGUCAAAGACAGUUUUUGGGGUGAUUGACAUACAUACAAAUUACAAUACAUAAUGGGUGGAAUUCGCACCACAGUGAAAACAGCAAUGAGAACGGGGCUCAAAGUAGAAUAUGUCAUUAUAGAUUACCCUCGAGAUAGCAAUGAGUUUGAUGGACUGUCCCCAAGAGCAAUUAGUAGUACAACUACAUGCCCGGCUA
Molecule: non-coding RNA, 382 nt
Organism: Prunus avium (sweet cherry)
Lineage: Eukaryota; Viridiplantae; Streptophyta; Magnoliopsida; Rosales; Rosaceae
Source: RefSeq, a predicted model, not a curated record